GCGUUGGUGGUUUAGUGGUAAAAUUCAUCGUUGCCAUAACGAACAUCAGUUCGCUUGUGAAUCUCGAUGAGCCCCGGGUUCGAUUCCCGGCCGACGCA
RNAcentral lists this transfer RNA (98 nucleotides) under Diplodia corticola. RNAcentral's name for it is "Botryosphaeria corticola tRNA". It matches the Rfam family "tRNA". Rfam says of the family: Transfer RNA (tRNA) molecules are approximately 80 nucleotides in length. Their secondary structure includes four short double-helical elements and three loops (D, anti-codon, and T loops). Further hydrogen bonds mediate the characteristic L-shaped molecular structure. tRNAs have two regions of fundamental functional importance: the anti-codon, which is responsible for specific mRNA codon recognition, and the 3' end, to which the tRNAs corresponding amino acid is attached (by aminoacyl-tRNA synthetases). tRNAs cope with the degeneracy of the genetic code in two manners: having more than one tRNA (with a specific anti-codon) for a particular amino acid; and 'wobble' base-pairing, i.e. permitting non-standard base-pairing at the 3rd anti-codon position. The record is from Rfam by way of RNAcentral. Lineage: Eukaryota; Fungi; Ascomycota; Dothideomycetes; Botryosphaeriales; Botryosphaeriaceae.